This is a non-coding RNA of Pantherophis guttatus, 800 nucleotides long. Lineage: Eukaryota; Metazoa; Chordata; Lepidosauria; Squamata; Colubridae. The record is from RefSeq and is a predicted model, not a curated record.
UCGGUUUUCUCCUACUUGAAACCGCUUCGUCCUUUCGCAGCAUUUCACCGCGCCAGGAUUCAGGCUCCGGCUGACUGUGCAAAUACAGGCGCCUGGCUUCCUGCACCAGCGCCUCCCCAGACGCGCCUUGAGAGAUCCGCAGCCCUGCGCAAAGAUACUCGGCUACAAGUUCUACAGUGGGAUUUGAUCUUCCAAACUGGUGGAAAGUGUUGAAGAAAAGUUCAUGUUGAUCUGAGGCGAGAGGAGAGGAAGAAGAAGGAGAAGGAGAAGGAGAAGGAGAAGGAGAAGGAGAAGGAGAAGGAGAAGAGACUAAAAUGAACAUUCCUAAAGACUUUUCUUCCUUUGCAUGGCUCAACAUUCUCAACAAGACUUGGCCUAUUUCUGUGUGCAACAGUUCUUGCUCAGCCAUUUACAGUACAACCUCUGGUCACGAAUACUCCUGACCACGACCAAAUCGGGUUCUGACCAAAAAAUGCACCUUUUUUUUCCACGGUUGAUUUCCCCUUCCACCCCAUUUUUUUUGUAAGUGCCAUAUUUCCAAAAUUAGGUUUGGAUCACCAGUUAUGGAACAAAUUAUGGUCGUGAUCAGGGGUUCUACUGUAUAUAGUUGCUCUUUCUGAAAAACCCAAGGUUUGUGUAGACGUCUAGAUCAGCAGCCCCCAACUGUUCCAGCUCCAGAGACUAAUUUCAGAAGAAAAAUUGUCUUCCACAGACCAGAGGUGGGAGGAUGGUUUCACACGCGCAACCUAGAUCUGCUCAUCCACAGAUGAAGUUUCAUUCGCUCACUCACUGCUUGCGUG